UCCGGCUUAUGAGCCGGCACUCACUGCUUUCGCAGUAAUUCCCAAGAUGUCAAGCCCUGGUAAGGUUCUUCGCUUAACAUCGAAUUAAACAACACGCUCCACCGCUUGUGCGGGUCCCCGUCAAUUCCUUUGAGUUUUAGUCUUGCGACCGUACUCCCCAGGCGGGAUGCUUAACGCGUUAGCUUCGCUACAUACCGGGUCGAUACGGCAUACAGCUAGCAUCCAUAGUUUACGGCGUGGACUAC
Molecule: unclassified non-coding RNA, 245 nt
Filed under: uncultured bacterium
Lineage: Bacteria
Description: contains 16S-23S intergenic spacer region
Source: RNAcentral